UACGUAGGGGGCGAGCGUUGUCCGGAUUUAUUGGGCGUAAAGAGCGUGUAGGCGGUUCGGUAAGUCUGUCGUGAAAUCCUGAGGCUCAACCUCGGGCGUGCGAUGGAUACUGCCGGGCUAGAGGAUGGUAGAGGCGAGUGGAAUUCCUGGUGUAGAGGUGAAAUUCGUAGAUAUCAGGAGGAACACCAGUGGCGAAGGCGGCUUCCUGGACACCAACUGACGCUGAGACGCGAAAGCGUGGGGAGCAAACAGG
RNAcentral lists this ribosomal RNA (253 nucleotides) under uncultured bacterium. RNAcentral describes it as "partial 16S ribosomal RNA". It matches the Rfam family "Bacterial small subunit ribosomal RNA", at positions 524 to 776 of the family's 1533-position model. The record is from RNAcentral.